GCAAAUCUGCACGGCUCCCUCGGCUGAUCUUGUUACGCCGGCCUAAAUAGCCAUGUGGGUAUUUAAUUUUAAAUCACGACGAGCAGCCUGCGAACAAGUUCUCGCCGGCGGAGUCCGAAGCGGAGGGGUGGGCGACUCUUCAGCUUAGGGGAACUGGGGAAAAAAAUACAGGAAAACGGGCACGAUUUCGCACUGGGGGGGGGGCGGGGGGGGGGGGUAUUGUUUUCACUCUCCCUGUGUAAAAGCCAACAGAGGUUUGAUAAAGAAAAGCCCCUGCCCCGCAGCUCGGCCGCCCGGUGGGCUCCCUGAAUCCCGCCCGGAUGCUCAGGUGCAGCCCGCAAGCAGGGACGGGCUGGGAGCCAGGGGGAAGCUCGGCCCCGGAGACCGCAUUUUCCCCCGUCGGGAAGCAGCACCACCCGCAAACAGAAGCCGAGCCGGCGGCGGCACCGGCGAGGCGGAGAGCCCGAAGAGUCGCCCCCCCGCAUCCCUCCCCGCAACUUUCUGCCGCCUCCCGUUUAUUUUUCCAGACGGCGUGAUAUUUUCGGAUGGGCUGCGGGGUGGUGGUUUGGGCUUUUUUUUUUUUUUUUUUUUUUUGGGUUUUUUUUUUUUUUUUUUAAAGGAAUAGCUCCAAUCCCACGCCCGUGCCCUCUCCCGAAGCAUCUCCCUCUUUCCCUUCCUCCCUCCUUCCCAGCUGGCUCUUCCUCGUGGAAGGAGAAUGGCUCGGCGCGGUUCCCGGCGAGGUUUUGCACCGAGGAGGGUGACUCCUGGCAGGGCUGCACGUCCCUCCUCUUACAUAACGGCCAUCCCCGGUGGGAGCCAGCUCCAGUUGGGGUGGCCGCGUUUGGGGACGGCCACCUUCAGGGGUGGACACGUUUGGGGGGCUCACACACCCCGAGCACUGCCACCUACGUGCCACCAGGCAUGGUCCCCCCUACCCUGACUGGAUUCCCCCCAAAGCCACCCAAGCACCCCAAAAUCUCCUCCAAGCCCUGGAUGCUGCUCACUGCCCCAUCCUCAUCCAGGCCCC
This 1027-nucleotide long non-coding RNA is filed under the name Calidris pygmaea (Spoon-billed sandpiper). Its description in RNAcentral is "lncRNA (ENSCPGG00000006386.1)". The record is from RNAcentral. Lineage: Eukaryota; Metazoa; Chordata; Aves; Charadriiformes; Scolopacidae.